GCAUGGUCAAUAAAAGAGAGCUCACAGAAGAUGGACUUGAAAAAAACUUUGCUGCCAAUACUCUGGGUGUGUACAUUCUCACGACCGGCCUGAUCCCUGUGCUGGAGAAAGAACACGACCCCCGAGUGCAGAAGGGACUUGGCAGCUGCAGUUCAGUUCAGGGCCUUGGGAUGAGAAGCGUGUCCUGGAGUAUCCAGAUAACCGUCUCCUCAGGAGGAAUGUUGGCUCAGAAACUGAGCACCAAUGAUCUCCAGUCCGAAAGAACACCAUUUGAUGGAACUAUGGUCUAUGCACAAAACAAGAGGCAGCAAGUGGUUCUGACGGAGCGGUGGGCCCAAGGGCACCUGGCCAUCCAUUUUUCUUCCAUGCAUCCUGGCUGGGCCGACACCCCAG
This 393-nucleotide small RNA is filed under the name Pan troglodytes (chimpanzee). RNAcentral describes it as "processed transcript". The record is from RNAcentral. Lineage: Eukaryota; Metazoa; Chordata; Mammalia; Primates; Hominidae.